GAUGGCGGCCAUAGACCUAAGUGUACACCUGAACUCGGCCGAACUCAGAAGUUAAGACUUAGGCCGUCUGGGAAGAUGUGCAGUGCGCGAGCCUGUGACAGGUCCCAGAGCUGCCACAU
RNAcentral lists this ribosomal RNA (119 nucleotides) under Candidatus Thorarchaeota archaeon. Lineage: Archaea; Promethearchaeati; Candidatus Thorarchaeota. The record is from RNAcentral.